This 1000-nucleotide ribosomal RNA is filed under the name Nocardiopsis sp. ZZY-2013. Its description in RNAcentral is "bacterial SSU rRNA". It matches the Rfam family "Bacterial small subunit ribosomal RNA", at positions 31 to 1037 of the family's 1533-position model. Lineage: Bacteria; Bacillati; Actinomycetota; Actinomycetes; Streptosporangiales; Nocardiopsidaceae. The record is from RNAcentral.
GAGCAUUGGCGGCAUGCUUACCAUGCAAGUCGAGCGGUAAGGCCCUUCGGGGUACACGAGCGGCGAACGGGUGAGUAACACGUGAGCAACCUGCCCCUGACUCCGGGAUAAGCGGUGGAAACGCCGUCUAAUACCGGAUACGACCGGCCGCCUCAUGGUGGCCGGUGGAAAGUUUUUCGGUUGGGGAUGGGCUCGCGGCCUAUCAGCUUGUUGGUGGGGUAAAGGCCUACCAAGGCGAUUACGGGUAGCCGGCCUGAGAGGGCGACCGGCCACACUGGGACUGAGACACGGCCCAGACUCCUGCGGGAGGCAGCAGUGGGGAAUAUUGCGCAAUGGGCGAAAGCCUGACGCAGCGACGCCGCGUGGGGGAUGACGGCCUUCGGGUUGUAAACCUCUUUUACCACCAACGCAGGCUCCCAGUUCUCUGGGGGUUGACGGUAGGUGGGGAAUAAGGACCGGCUAACUACGUGCCAGCAGCCGCGGUAAUACGUAGGGUCCGAGCGUUGUCCGGAAUUAUUGGGCGUAAAGAGCUCGUAGGCGGCGUGUCGCGUCUGCUGUGAAAGACCGGGGCUUAACUCCGGUUCUGCAGUGGAUACGGGCAUGCUAGAGGUAGGUAGGGGAGACUGGAAUUCCUGGUGUAGCGGUGAAAUGCGCAGAUAUCAGGAGGAACACCGGUGGCGAAGGCGGGUCUCUGGGCCUUACCUGACGCUGAGGAGCGAAAGCAUGGGGAGCGAACAGGAUUAGAUACCCUGGUAGUCCAUGCCGUAAACGUUGGGCGCUAGGUGUGGGGACUUUCCACGGUUUCCGCGCCGUAGCUAACGCAUUAAGCGCCCCGCCUGGGGAGUACGGCCGCAAGGCUAAAACUCAAAGGAAUUGACGGGGGCCCGCACAAGCGGCGGAGCAUGUUGCUUAAUUCGACGCAACGCGAAGAACCUUACCAAGGUUUGACAUCACCCGUGGACCUGCAGAGAUGUGGGGUCAUUUAGUUGGUGGGUGACAG